CCUGAGAAACCCAAAAGAUCGAAUGGGGAGAUUCAUCGUCAGCUCAUUUUGUAUAUGUAUGAGUUACGAUGCGGGUUACUACUUGUAGUAUUGCCUGCACGUUCUUUUAUAUUUAGUUGCAAGAUGUUGUCGGCGUGCACUUCUCCCCUAGUAGGACGUCGCGACCCGUUGAGUGUCGGUCUACGGCCCAAGUGGGAGCCUUUAAUGUUUUUAUAAUAUUAAAGACCCUUGGUGUUUAUUUUGACCGGCUACUCGGCGGUACUCGUACGGUAUUAAGCCGCAUAUUAUGCGUCCAUGCCCGUCGCAAGCGAGGCCAAUUUCUAGUAGUACGGACCUAGUGCCGUCGCUGGUAUUGGCCAGCUGUUGGUUGUACGGUGUUCUAGGACUGGCUAAAUUUUACCGGUCGGCGAUGCUACUGCUUUGGGUACUUUCAG
This 434-nucleotide ribosomal RNA is filed under the name Katytermus palmicola. RNAcentral describes it as "partial 28S ribosomal RNA". The record is from RNAcentral. Lineage: Eukaryota; Metazoa; Arthropoda; Insecta; Hymenoptera; Braconidae.